UGCACCAACCAUACCAUGUUGGAAACAGAGGUUCCCGACUGAUCACCGGAGUUAAACAAUGCUGGACCCGGUUGGUAGUUGCUCGGGUGACCCACUGGGAAUAUCGGGUGUUGUGGCCG
This 119-nucleotide ribosomal RNA is filed under the name Clonorchis sinensis. The record is from RNAcentral. Lineage: Eukaryota; Metazoa; Platyhelminthes; Trematoda; Opisthorchiida; Opisthorchiidae.